AAGACUAUACUUCACAGGAUCAUUUCUGUAGUAAGUCUUCAUUAACUUUCGGGUUAAACCGAAGGAAUUUGCGCCCAUGAUGACGAGUCAAGGUCGCUUCAUCCCUAGCGUGAGGAAGAUUCGUUCUCGGUGUUUUCAUUAGAGAGCGAAUCAUCGAUGAUCGCUUUAAGACGGGAUGAAGUGAUUUCAGAGUGGU
RNAcentral lists this small nucleolar RNA (196 nucleotides) under Hermetia illucens (black soldier fly). RNAcentral's name for it is "small nucleolar RNA U3". It matches the Rfam family "Small nucleolar RNA U3". Rfam says of the family: Small nucleolar RNAs (snoRNAs) are involved in the processing and modification of rRNA in the nucleolus. There are two main classes of snoRNAs: the box C/D class, and the box H/ACA class. Lineage: Eukaryota; Metazoa; Arthropoda; Insecta; Diptera; Stratiomyidae. The record is from Rfam by way of RNAcentral.